This 315-nucleotide ribosomal RNA is filed under the name uncultured Tremella. RNAcentral's name for it is "partial large subunit ribosomal RNA". It matches the Rfam family "Eukaryotic large subunit ribosomal RNA", at positions 40 to 350 of the family's 3401-position model. The record is from RNAcentral. Lineage: Eukaryota; Fungi; Basidiomycota; Tremellomycetes; Tremellales; Tremellaceae.
AUAUCAAUAAGCGGAGGAAAAGAAACUAACAAGGAUUCCCCUAGUAGCGGCGAGCGAAGCGGGAUGAGCUCAAAUUUGUAAUCUGGCGUCUUUAGGCGUCCGAGUUGUAAUCUACAGAAACGUUUUCCGUGCCGGACCGCGUCCAAGUCCCCUGGAAUGGGGUAUCAAAGAGGGUGAGAAUCCCGUGCUUGACGCGACGACCGGUGCUCUGUGAUACGUUCUCUACGAGUCGAGUUGUUUGGGAAUGCAGCUCUAAAUGGGUGGUAGACUCCAUCUAAGGCUAAAUAUUGGCGAGAGACCGAUAGCGCACAAGUA